UACAGAGGUCUCAAGCGUUGUUCGGAUUCAUUGGGCGUAAAGGGUGCGUAGGCGGUGAGGUAAGUCGGAUGUGAAAUCCCGGGGCUCAACCCCGGAACUGCAUUCGAUACUGCUUUACUUGAGGACUGGAGAGGAGAUUGGAAUUCACGGUGUAGCAGUGAAAUGCGUAGAUAUCGUGAGGAAGACCAGUGGCGAAGGCGAAUCUCUGGACGGAUCCUGACGCUGAGGCACGAAGGCUAGGGGAGCAAACGGG
This 253-nucleotide ribosomal RNA is filed under the name uncultured bacterium. Its description in RNAcentral is "partial 16S ribosomal RNA". It matches the Rfam family "Bacterial small subunit ribosomal RNA", at positions 524 to 776 of the family's 1533-position model. The record is from RNAcentral.